AGACAUGCCAACUACACAUUCCUUUGAGGUGAGAAGGAAGACUUCCUUCUAUAAUACACUAGAAAGGAUUAGAGAGGAAGCUGGGUAAGAGCAAAGAUGACGUGAUCUUAAGGUUAAAAGCCUCCAAAUUACAGCAGUGAUACUGGUAUACUGGGGAUAGGGUGCAAAGGGGGAAAGUAUAGACAGUUACAGCAGAUAUUUGAAAAAAAAAAAAAAAAAGCUAAUUAUAAGCAAUAAUAUUCUGUGUCUCCAGACUAAACCACCUGAUCACCACUUUUCUCUGAUCUUAGGUUACCUUUCUACACUUCAGGUGAUUGCUAAUAUGUAUAAGUUAACAAUCCAAAUGUCAAUUAACCUCAAACAUUUACCCAUUCUUCUAGGCUGCAUGGUAAAAGGCUAUCAGUAAUGUGAUCUUUUAUUAAAGUCAACAAUAAGCAAAGUCAAAAUAAUAAAAAAUAAAAUAGAAUACAAAGAAGCUGAUUAAUCAUCAGCACUAAAAUUCACACUAUGUUGAUUUGAGAAGAGGUAAGGACAGUGUGAAAUAAAAUAAAGUAGUUGUGUGGCUUUUACACCACUAAGAAAAGCUAUCAAAAACAUUGUGAAAGGAUUUUAUGUUCUACUGCAUUUGUUUUCAGGAAAGAGGAUAACCAGAAG
Non-coding RNA from Taeniopygia guttata (zebra finch), 654 nucleotides. NCBI's taxonomy places the organism in Eukaryota, Metazoa, Chordata, Aves, Passeriformes, Estrildidae. The record is from RefSeq and is a predicted model, not a curated record.